GCUUUUUGCAUUUGGAAUCUGUUGCUGUCAACUCUCAAUAUGAGAUCCAAAGAGCUGUCACUAUCAGUGAAGCAAGCCAUCAUUAGGCUGAAAAAACAAAACAAACCCAUCAUAGAGAUAGCAAAAACAUUAGGUGUGGCCAAAUCAACUGUUUGGAACAUCCUUAAAAAGAAAGAAUGCACCGGUGAGCUCAGCAAUACCAAAAGACCCGGAAGACCACGG
Molecule: non-coding RNA, 222 nt
Organism: Pelobates cultripes (western spadefoot toad)
Lineage: Eukaryota; Metazoa; Chordata; Amphibia; Anura; Pelobatidae
Source: the annotation of a GenBank genome assembly